This 393-nucleotide unclassified non-coding RNA is filed under the name rhizosphere metagenome. Its description in RNAcentral is "partial ribosomal RNA internal transcribed spacer region". The record is from RNAcentral.
GUAGGUGAACCUGCGGAAGGAUCAUUAACACGUAUCCAACGUUAAACAACCCUGUGAACCUUCAACCCGAUCUUGCACCUCGUACGGAGCCAGCAAUCCCGGUAAAUCAUUGACGAACAGUUUUGAUUCGGGACCUCUGCCCAAGCUUGUUGCAAUUGAGCGGUAGAGCAAGUGACAUGGCUUCCUUACCACUGAAACAGCCGCUUGAAAGGAUUGGAACAGGAUGGUAAGGAUAACGCUUCACGGUUGCUAGAGGUCGAUCACCGACCGGCAAGCAUGUUACCGGGUCCCCAUGCCCCCUAAUCACCCCUGACACGUAUUACACGCCCCGUGGUAACUCGCCGGGUAAGAAAAAAAACCGAACAACUGUUAACAAUGGAUAUCUUGGUUCUC